This 406-nucleotide ribosomal RNA is filed under the name uncultured bacterium. Its description in RNAcentral is "partial 16S ribosomal RNA". It matches the Rfam family "Bacterial small subunit ribosomal RNA", at positions 30 to 526 of the family's 1533-position model. The record is from RNAcentral.
AUUGAACGCUGGCGGCAGGCUUAACACAUGCAAGUCGAGCGAGCGGCGGACGUGUGAGUAAUGUCUGGGAAACUGCCUGAGGGAGGGGGAUAUCUACGGGAAACGAUAGCUAACAGCGCAUACCAUCAGAUGUGCCCAGAGGGGAUUAGCUAGUAGGUUGGGUAAGUGCUCACCUAGGCGACGAUCCCUAGCUGGUCUGAGAGGAUGACCAGCCACACUGGAACGGAGACACGGUCCAGACUCCUACGGGAGGCAGCAUUGGGGAAUAUUGCACAAUGGGCGCAAGCCUGAUGCAGCCAUGCCGCGUGUAUGAAGAAGGCCUUCGGGUUGUAAAGUACUUUCAGCGGGGAGGCGUUACCCGCAGAAGAAGCACCGGCUAACUCCGUGCCAGCAGCCGCGGUAAUAC